CUACGGAGGGGGUUAGCGUUGUUCGGAAUUACUGGGCGUAAAGCGCACGUAGGCGGACUGGAAAGUUGGGGGUGAAAUCCCGGGGCUCAACCCCGGAACUGCCUCCAAAACUUCCAAUCUAGAGAUCGAGAGAGGUGAGUGGAAUUCCAAGUGUAGAGGUGAAAUUCGUAGAUAUUUGGAGGAACACCAGUGGCGAAGGCGGCUCUCUGGCCCGAUACUGACGCUGAGGUGCGAAAGCGUGGGGAGCAAACAGGAUUAGAAACCCUAGUAGUCC
Molecule: ribosomal RNA, 274 nt
Filed under: uncultured bacterium
Lineage: Bacteria
Description: partial 16S ribosomal RNA
Rfam family: Bacterial small subunit ribosomal RNA
Source: RNAcentral